Zeugodacus cucurbitae (melon fly) is the source of this 873-nucleotide long non-coding RNA. RefSeq lists it as uncharacterized. NCBI's taxonomy places the organism in Eukaryota, Metazoa, Arthropoda, Insecta, Diptera, Tephritidae. The record is from RefSeq and is a predicted model, not a curated record. The transcript is spliced from 4 exons.
UAAAAUUUCAUUUCAUUGUAGUUAUACGUGUGUGCACAGCAAAGGAGGAGCAAGGAGGUGACGGUGAAAUUGGUGGAGGUUUAUGGAUUUAGAAUUGGUGUAAUAUAUAACAACAAUGGAAAAUAACAUGAUAUUGAAAACACAAAUCUUCUUCUGCUUACGCGGUUAUAGCCGAGUCCACAACAGCGCGCUACGCAUCUCUCCUUUUGUUAGUUAGGCGUCAAUUGGUAAUACCAAGUGAAGACAGGUCCAUCCCCACCUGGACCUUCCAACGGAGUGGAGGUCUCCCUCUUCCACGGCUUCCACCAGCGGGUACCGCAUCGAAAACUUUCAGAGCUGAGACUUUCGUCCAUUCGAACAACAUGACCAAGCCCACGUAGCCACUGUCUUUUUAUUCGCUGAACUAUGCCUAUGUCGUCGAACAACACAUACAGCUCAUCAUUUCAUCUUCUGCGGUAUUCGCCGUUGCCAAUGUUUAAGGGACCAUAAAUCUUCCGCAAAACCUUUCUCUCGAAAACUCCUAGUGCCGUCUCAUUGGAUGCUGACACCGUCCACGCUUCUGAACCAUAAAGUAGGAAGUGGAAUGAUGAGGGACUUGUAGAGUUUAGUUUUUGUUCAUCGAGACAGGACUUUACUUUUCAAUUGCUACUCAGUCCAUAAACACAAAUACUUUGCACAAAUGGAGGAUUACAAUAGCUACAACUUUUCUUAGGCAUGAUAAACAAGACAACAACAAAUCCCAUCGGACAUUUAGAUUAGCAGUUGCACAACCUAUUUACCUUUUAUGAUGUACAUAUGAGAUAGGAUUGUGUGGAAUUGACAUCAAACAAUAUUGGUUGAGUAGUUUCGUACAGAAUAGUUAUAAGGUUUAAA